This 573-nucleotide long non-coding RNA is filed under the name Marmota monax (woodchuck). The record is from RNAcentral. Lineage: Eukaryota; Metazoa; Chordata; Mammalia; Rodentia; Sciuridae.
CCAGGACCUCGUCAUGUGGUGAGCUGAGAUUUACAAGGGGCGCGAUUUAUAUUGUGAAUUAUAAACCUUUAACAUACCUCCCAAGAAGUCGCUCGGUUCAUAAAAAGUCACAAAAGAACUACAAAGAAGAGUCCAACUGCAGAGAAGUUGGAAAUAUUUUAUCCUCCUUUUUUUUUUUUUUUUGGACUAUUGACUCUCUGUCAACCAAUGGAAGUAAAUUGUAAAAUUACAAUUAGUCUUGAUUCUGCAAAAAAAAAAAAACUUAAGAAGAACGUCCGAUUCCCUCCACUUCCGCUAACUAGGUGUUGGGCAAACAUUUGAAAGGCAGCGGAUGGAAGGUCUCCAGACUCUUGGUCUAGGUGGCUCUCAUGAAGACCCAUGAAAACAACUGCAGGUUGGGUCCAGGAAGGGACCACAAAUGGAAUGUGCUGGAUAAUAGGCCGCAGGGCAUGGUGGAGACGGGGCAGCUGAGAGCCGGUGCCCUGCCCGGCCCAUCGUCCCCCCUGCCCAGCUGGUUGUGCCCUGCCUCUCUCUCAGCACACAGGCAAGUGCACCCCAGCCCCCUCUCCUGAC